GCGAGAGUGGCGGAAUUCGGUAGACGCGCUGGAUUUAGGUUUCAGUAGGGUAAUUCCUGUGAGAGUUCAAAUCUCUCCUCUCGCA
Molecule: transfer RNA, 85 nt
Filed under: Coxiella endosymbiont of Amblyomma americanum
Lineage: Bacteria; Pseudomonadati; Pseudomonadota; Gammaproteobacteria; Legionellales; Coxiellaceae
Also listed under: 1 other name
Description: tRNA-Leu (TAG) (tRNA-Leu-TAG-1-1)
Rfam family: tRNA
About the family: Transfer RNA (tRNA) molecules are approximately 80 nucleotides in length. Their secondary structure includes four short double-helical elements and three loops (D, anti-codon, and T loops).
Source: Rfam by way of RNAcentral